GUAAUUUUUUUUACAGAACCUGUUCUGUAAUUCGAAAAUUUUCGGUAAUUGAUCGAUCUGACGUCUUGUUUUUACCGAGUUCGGUAGAUCGAUCCUUUAUUUAACGAGGCUCGUUUAUUUUUAUGUAAACAAAUCGCUUUGCCGUAAAUUUUCGGUGAAAAAACACCGAAAACUGUAAAUUAGUGUUGCUGUCAACACAAACGUCAAGUUUCGAGCGCACAUUUUUUGCAGCUUUGAGCGCAACCGUCUCUUUUUGAUAACCGCGAUGUAUUAGUGGCGUCCCGCUUGCGCAAAAUCAAUUUGAAACGUUUUUAAUUUUUGCAUAUGCGCAGGGGGUGCUUUCAAUCGAGCAGUAAAGUUUCGGUAUCACGUGUUAGUAGAUGAUGUUGGGGGUCAAAAUGUUCAACCGCUGCGUGUUGAAGUUAAUUAAGACCAUUAAUUGUGAUUGAAAAAAGUGAAUCUAAUGUGUCAAACAUCUUUCGGUGACUGUUUAAAACCACAUUCCACCAGUUAUUUAAAAAAAAACCUCAAAACCACAACGGUAAAAGAGCACCAGGCUCUGUAAUUUGACUUGAAUUCCUCAGGUUCAACAGGCAAGUUCAGUACGGUAAAGUAAUCUGAGGUUUUCGCCUACUUUUUAAAUUUAAGACCAAAUAACCCGCCUGACACUGAUGCUGAUAAUAAGUGUUUUGCGUUUCCGAAAUUUAGGUUGUUUUGGAUUCAUUUCGAGGACGGCUGUUCCAUUAAUCUUAACUGUAGGCAGAUAAACAACCAAAUUGAAACGAUGGAAUUGGAUUAACAACCGACCGAACAGUUUGGAAGUGCAGGAAACAAAUUUGAAUUCAUCCGUGGCCUUCAUGGAAAAUACUACUUAAUACCUCAAAAAACCUUCCAAUGGAGCUCUUUCGUUUAUUUGCAGGAACCGGAACAUUCUGCUUACCAGCUUGGUUAAAGUUGGCUGAAUACCAGUUGUGCCAUUAUCGAUGACGGAUCUAUGGUUGGAGCUGAUGCCAAUGCUGUUAUCAAAGUUAUCAUCGCAGUUAUACGAAAGCUAUUCGCGCUUCUAAACCUUGUUAUUAUCUGUGAAUGCUAUGAACGCACUCCAAUUUAUUUACCACUUUAGAACGAUUUUUCGUGGCCGGAUGAGUAUAAAACCGCUCGUGUAUUGUCGAACCGCCCGCUUAAAUCUUCCUGAACAGGACAAGCAACUCGUGUGCAGUGGCCAGAAUUUGGAUGUCAACAUGAAGGACAGAGGUUUUGUGCGCAAUCGAAUUGGGCAGAUGACCGAGAUGGCUACAUAUAUCGAUCGAAUUCAGAGACAAAUUAUCCUGGGAAAGUACAUGACGCUCUGCGUAGUGCUGUUGUAGGAUGACCAUAAUUUUGCUGAAAAUCACGAAAAAAGAACAGUUAAAGGAUUCGAAGCUUACUUGAACAUUUCAGGAUCCGAUAAGGAAGAAUGUUAAUAAGCUGCCAAUAUGAAAAAGGAAAUAUAUAUAGUUCGGGAUUUCUGGAAAUCCGAAAUGCGAGCGUCGAUAAAUAAUUUUAGCAUCCGUCGUUAGCUUAACGCUAAGCCAUCUCACAAAGGAUUCUCGGUUUAAAAAGUCUGUGCCAAAUCAAGUCUGGUAAGCGAAAACGACUGUAUCAACGUUAAAUACCCCGCAAUGGCUGGAAAUAGGACAUGUCGUAGGAACUGAUUAAGUGCCAUACUCAUGAAUUUCCAAUCGGGCAACAAUAUAAGGGAUUUUUCAACAGGAGGUGUUAAAUCGUUCAAAUUGUACAGCUUAAUUCCUUAUUAACUGACACUGAAUUAUUUCAUCGAAGAGGUUAGAUUCAUUAUGGCAAGGCUUGUGAACAUAAUCGACAUCGACCCAGUGUUGUGAAGAAAGUAGGUAACCAAAUGGCACUGCGUGAGCCAAGACUCAUUAGGGAUCAUCGGAUUGAAAUCAAGCCAAAUAAACAUCCAAGUGCUGCGCCAAAAUCCGAUGGAUUGAUGACCGAUGUACUCUGCCGAACAAACCUGCGUUCGGUAAGUAACAGGUUUGAAAAUUCCCAUCUUCAAAAUUGUUAGUAUAAUUUUGAUAUUUUUCGGGUUGGAAGUAUUUUUUUGCUCACAUAGAAAAUUAAAACAGGCAUAUAUUUACACAAGUAAAAUAGCAAUAUUCAGUUUAUGUUAUAAAAUUAUAUUAUUUAUUCCAAUACACGUGAAAGGAGAAUUAAAUGUUCAUUCGUCUUAACGUUCAGAGUAGGAGACAUUCAUACUAUUUAGCAUGUUGCUACUACAUAAAUGAAGGCGUUUAACACUUCAGAUUGCCAUUAUGAAUAUAGCCUCCGCUGGCAGAUAAAGAAGUACUGUCAACAUUAUGAAUCUUUGUAUCGGUUUUUUAAAAAAAGGUAGUUUUUUUGUAUCGAUCAUACUUACUUAUACAAAUAAUAUAAAUUUUUUAGUACAGCACUCGCUCGUGGAACGGAUAUUUUUUAAAUCAAUUUCUCUUGGUGAUCGGACGUUUUGGCAGAUGAAAUCAGUCAAGUUCAGUUCAUUUUCUACGUUACUGAUGGUCCUCGGUCCAAAAAUUAAUUUUUGUUCCUUUAUCAUUUUAUUACAGAUGGAUGUAAAGAAUUCGAUCAUCGAUGUGUAUGCUGAUAGGAUUUGCUCAGCGCUUGUUAAUGAGAAAAACUAUGCUCCUGCUACAAAGUCAAUUCCUUGUGGCCCUCAGUUUUCAGUUUCAGGAAACACAAUGAAAAGAUAUUUAAACAAGAAUGGAAAUAGAGAUACAAGGAAAUUAUUUUUGCUCAAAUAAUUUAAGGAAAGGUUUGUUUUAAGAAUUAAAUCUUAGAGUUUUAUCAUUUCUUGUACGUUAUAAUUCUAAUUAAAAAGUCGUCAAAUUAUUAAUAAAAAUAAGUUAAAAAAUAUCUUCGUUAAUUGAUUUUUUUAAAGCAUAUCCAAAGUUGGUAUCAGUUUAAUACUUAGUUAACAAUACCUAAUGGUUAUCAAUCGAGAAGUUUUAUCUACUUUAAGCUGGCCAUUUAAAAUAUUUACUUGUAGAAUUACUUUGCUAUGUUUGGCUUUAAACUGAAUCGUAUAAGCCGUUUCUAAUAAAAAUUAUAAAAAAAAUUCUUUUC
Uranotaenia lowii is the source of this 3120-nucleotide long non-coding RNA. RefSeq lists it as uncharacterized. The record is from RefSeq and is a predicted model, not a curated record. NCBI's taxonomy places the organism in Eukaryota, Metazoa, Arthropoda, Insecta, Diptera, Culicidae. The transcript has 6 exons.